RNAcentral lists this ribosomal RNA (496 nucleotides) under Streptococcus gordonii. Its description in RNAcentral is "bacterial SSU rRNA". It matches the Rfam family "Bacterial small subunit ribosomal RNA", at positions 28 to 496 of the family's 1533-position model. The record is from RNAcentral. Lineage: Bacteria; Bacillati; Bacillota; Bacilli; Lactobacillales; Streptococcaceae.
GACGAACGCUGGCGGCGUGCCUAAUACAUGCAAGUAGAACGCACAGUUUAUACCGUAGCUUUGCUACACCAUAGACUUGUGAGUUGCGAACGGGUGAGUAACGCGUAGGUAACCUGCCUGGUAGCGGGGGAUAACUAUUGGAAACGAUAGCUAAUACCGCAUAAUAUUAAUUAUUGCAUGAUAAUUAAUUGAAAGGUGCAAUUGCACCACUACCAGAUGGACCUGCGUUGUAUUAGCUAGUAGGUGAGGUAACGGCUCACCUAGGCGACGAUACAUAGCCGACCUGAGAGGGUGAUCGGCCACACUGGGACUGAGACACGGCCCAGACUCCUACGGGAGGCAGCAGUAGGGAAUCUUCGGCAAUGGACGAAAGUCUGACCGAGCAACGCCGCGUGAGUGAAGAAGGUUUUCGGAUCGUAAAGCUCUGUUUUAAGAGAAGAACGGGUGUGAGAGUGGAAAGUUCACACUGUGACGGUAUCUUACCAGAAAGGGACGG